RNAcentral lists this unclassified non-coding RNA (204 nucleotides) under uncultured Trechispora. RNAcentral describes it as "sequence contains ITS1". Lineage: Eukaryota; Fungi; Basidiomycota; Agaricomycetes; Polyporales; Polyporaceae. The record is from RNAcentral.
ACGUAUCCUGGCGGGGUGCGGUCCGCCCUGCUCCGGUCCCAUCGGGCCGUGCAGCGGGCGCCCGUCCCUGUCCACACCUCACAAACCCACUGUGAACCUUCACGGCGGAGGGGGAAACGGUUCGCGCCGUGGCCUCCGAUGCCGCAUACCAAACUCCAGUUGCAAAGAAUGUCGUGCGGACAUUGUGCCGCCUAAACACUAAAA